CGGAAGCAGAAGGGCGGGGCGCAAGAGCGACUGAGAGCACUACGCGGAACCUAAGAAUCUUGAAAGGAAAGAGAAAGAACUAACAUUUCUGUGACUGAGAACUGGACGGUGACAAAUGAGAAAAUAAACACAAUAAAGGCAAGUUUGGUGGGGGUGACAGAGCAGAGCGACUUGUGAUCCCCGCUCCGUCACCACGUUCGGUUCGGUUCGGUUCGUUCCUCUGGACUACGGCGUUAAUGAUGCCGGCAAUCAGCGCAAAGUGAGAUAAUCACCAGCGCACUCUUGGAUCUCUAUGCAGGUUUGUAAACUAUGUGGAGGAAACGAACCCGUCGCAGUCUCAGCGGAAGAGGCCGGAGUAGGAGCCGAAGCCUGAGCAGGUUCCGAAAAACAGACCGGCCGUUCAGGACUAGGCCCUGAACCACAACUUGCUCCUCAGGGGUCCGGGUCGGAAGUGACGACUUCAUUCACUGAGCAGCCAUUUCCGGUCCCCAGUGUGCCCGGAGUGCCUUCUGGGUUUCAGAAAAGACACAGAAACUGACGGGGCGGAACCGCGACACGGCGGUGCCUGCUGAUGUCAAAAGGUCUCACGGCUCCGGGGGGACCCAGUCGCCCACAGCCGCCAGGGGCGCUGCCGGCUCCGAGCCCGUUGUCGAGAGCCGCUCCGCUGCUCGUGUCUGCCCUUCAGUCCUUCCAACUCUUCUGGGACCUAGAGUUCCGGGAUCUCACUGCGAGCUUGGAGGAUUCCUAUGUAAAAUUCGAAAGGAUAUGGGGAAGGAAAAAACAAAAACACACCUCACUUUGUUUCCGCCCGGUUUCGAACCGGGGACCUUUCGCGUGUGAGGCGAACGUGAUAACCACUACACUACGGAAACUAAGUGGCAGCUGGGGUUUUGCAAACGGCUCUUAAAAGGUAGCGCCUCAUCACUGCGUCCCUGAUCCAAGAGAAAAGUACCCGGCGGGCCAACCACAGCUUCGGGAUGGGGGCGCGCAGGGAAGUAGCCAGCAAAGCAGGGCUCCCUAAUGACCUUGCCCGGCGGUUCUCAAGACCGAGACUUCAGAUCAUCUGGGAGAGGUUGAAAGGCACAGGCAGUGUUCACCGCCUUGAACUGAAGAUCACUGAAUACGGCUUUGGUGGAAACCACUGCAGUGACAUCAGAAAGCAGAAAAAGCAGACUUCCCUGACCGGGAAUCGAACCCGGGUCGCGGCGGUGAAAACGCCGAAUCCUAGCCACUAGACCACCAGGGAGGGACAGUCACAGAAUGUGGGCAACACCUUCUGGGAAAAGAUCUUAGGACAGACGCCUCAGCCACCUCAGGCACAUGUUAGAAAGCUAUAGGAAUGUCUUAAGAAUAUUUUGCAGUAAUGUGUAUAGUACUGGAUGCAGCGACUGCUGCCUGGGUCAGAGGGUGGCAGAAGGCUUUAGGGGCAGAAACGUUGGAAGAAAGAUUGUCACAAGUCAAGCUGGGGAAGAGAAAAAUGUUUCCCAAAUCAUUUUUCUCACGCACUCCCUCUGACACGAGAGUUUCUCAUCUCCCUUCCUCCCUCCCUCCCGCCCUCCUUCUUGCUUCCUAAAAUCAGCAUGUCCUUCACUUACAUAGUUUCUCCACGGCUGAUUGAGAAAAACAUGUGUCUCUUUUGCCCCCCUCCCCCAAAGGAUCCUAUUCCUGAUCUCUAAAUAUGCCCCUCCCCAUGCAGAGGAAGGAGCAUUCAGAGCCUGGGAGACCUGCCUACCUGGAGCUGCACCCAUCUUUCAGGCCAUGCUCUGUUUCCUGGAACCUGAAAUGGAUUUACCUAUUUUAUGUACUUCACAGAAAUGAAAUCACAUAAUGUGUCACAUUUUGUCCAGCUUCUCUCACUUGGCAUAGUUUUGGGUUCAUUCAUGUCAUAGUACGUGCUAGGAUUUCAUUUCUUCUUAUGGCCAAAUAAUAUUUUAUGUAUAUACCACAUUUCCUUUAUCCAUUAGUCUGUUGAUGGGCAUUUGGGUUGUUUCCACCUUUUGGCUGUUGUGUAUAUUGCUGCUAUGAACAUUUAUGUACAAGCA
This is a long non-coding RNA of Cercocebus atys (sooty mangabey), 2042 nucleotides long. RefSeq lists it as uncharacterized. Lineage: Eukaryota; Metazoa; Chordata; Mammalia; Primates; Cercopithecidae. The record is from RefSeq and is a predicted model, not a curated record. The transcript is spliced from 3 exons.